This 468-nucleotide ribosomal RNA is filed under the name uncultured bacterium. Its description in RNAcentral is "partial 16S ribosomal RNA". It matches the Rfam family "Bacterial small subunit ribosomal RNA", at positions 28 to 507 of the family's 1533-position model. The record is from RNAcentral.
GACGAACGCUGGCGGCGUGCUUAACACAUGCAAGUCGAACGGAAAGGCCCGGCUUUUGUGGGGUGCACGUUUGGCGAACGGGUGAGUAUCACGCGUGUAACCUCCCCUUGACUGUCGGAUAACAUUACGAAACUGGGGCUAAUACCGGAUAGGAGCUCCUGCUGCAUUGGGGGGGUUGGAAAGUUUCGGCGGUUGGGGAUGGACUCGUGGCUUAUCAGCUUGUUGGUGGGGUAGUGGCUUACCAAGGUUUUGACGGGUAGCCGGCAUGGGAGGGUGACCGGCGACAUUGGGACUGCGAUACGGCGCAGACUCCUACGGGAGGCAGCAGUGGAGAAUAUUGCACAAUGGGCGGAAGCCUGAUGCAGCAACGCCGCGUGCGGGAUAACGGCCUUCGGGUUGUAAACCGCUUUCGACUGUGACGAAGCGUGAGUGACGGUAAUGGGUAAGGAAGCACCGGCUAACUACGUG